UACGUAGGUGGCGAGCGUUGUCCGGAAUUACUGGGUGUAAAGGGCGUGUAGGCGGGUCGGCAAGUCAGAUGUGAAACCCCACGGCUUAACUGUGGGACUGCAUCUGAAACUGCUGAUCUUGAGUGCUGGAGAGGAAAGCGGAAUUCCCAGUGUAGCGGUGAAAUGCGUAGAGAUUGGGAGGAACACCAGUGGCGAAGGCGGCUUUCUGGACAGUAACUGACGCUGAGGCGCGAAAGCGUGGGGAGCAAACAGGAUUAGAUACCCUGGUAGUCCACGCCGUAAACGAUGGAUACUAGGUGUAGGAGGUAUCGACCCCUUCUGUGCCGCAGUUAACACAAUAAGUAUCCCACCUGGGGAGUACGGCCGCAAGGUUGAA
Molecule: ribosomal RNA, 376 nt
Filed under: uncultured bacterium
Lineage: Bacteria
Description: bacterial SSU rRNA
Rfam family: Bacterial small subunit ribosomal RNA
Source: RNAcentral